UCCCCGGUAGCUCAACCGGUAGAGCGUUCGGCUGUUAACCGAAAUGUCGUUGGUUCGAAUCCAACCCGGGGAG
Molecule: transfer RNA, 73 nt
Filed under: marine sediment metagenome
Description: tRNA-Asn
Rfam family: tRNA
About the family: Transfer RNA (tRNA) molecules are approximately 80 nucleotides in length. Their secondary structure includes four short double-helical elements and three loops (D, anti-codon, and T loops).
Source: RNAcentral